UUAUUCCUGAGAUGUUCGCGAUGGGUUACGUCCCUGAGCCGAUACUAAUCUAUUUUGAAUUGGUUCUCUAUAUUAUUGGUGUGCAAGCUUAGUUUAGCUAAGAAGCCUAAAAAUGAUUAUAACCGAUUCCCUUGAAUCUUCGGGUUCAAGGACCGACCACUCAUAACGGCAUCUCGGGGGUUUU
Molecule: non-coding RNA, 184 nt
Filed under: Pasteurellaceae bacterium
Lineage: Bacteria; Pseudomonadati; Pseudomonadota; Gammaproteobacteria; Pasteurellales; Pasteurellaceae
Description: 6S RNA
Rfam family: 6S / SsrS RNA
About the family: E. coli 6S RNA was the first non coding RNA to be sequenced, but its function was unknown until recently.
Source: RNAcentral